This 376-nucleotide ribosomal RNA is filed under the name uncultured bacterium. Its description in RNAcentral is "bacterial SSU rRNA". It matches the Rfam family "Bacterial small subunit ribosomal RNA", at positions 524 to 898 of the family's 1533-position model. The record is from RNAcentral.
UACGUAGGGGGCGAGCGUUGUCCGGAAUUACUGGGCGUAAAGGGCGUGUAGGCGGGGAUGCAAGUUAUUGGUAAAAACCCGGGGCUCAACCUCGGGCUUGCCGAUAAAACUGUAUCUCUUGAGUGCAGGAGAGGGGAAUGGAAUUCCCGGAGUAGCGGUGAAAUGCGUAGAUACCGGGAGGAACACCAGUGGCGAAGGCGGUUCCCUGGCCUGUAACUGACGCUGAGGCGCGAAAGCUGGGGUAGCGAACGGGAUUAGAUACCCCGGUAGUCCCAGCCGUAAACGAUGGUCACUAGGUGUGGGGAGUGUUCAAGCUUUCCGUGCCGGAGCUAACGCAAUAAGUGACCCGCCUGGGGAGUACGGCCGCAAGGUUGAA